UGGCUCAGUGGAUAGAGCAUUGGUCUUCAGAAUGGAGGAUCCUGGGUUCGAUUCCCAG
Molecule: non-coding RNA, 58 nt
Organism: Myotis lucifugus (little brown bat)
Lineage: Eukaryota; Metazoa; Chordata; Mammalia; Chiroptera; Vespertilionidae
Source: Rfam